Molecule: ribosomal RNA, 2675 nt
Filed under: Triticum aestivum (bread wheat)
Lineage: Eukaryota; Viridiplantae; Streptophyta; Magnoliopsida; Poales; Poaceae
Description: partial small subunit ribosomal RNA
Source: RNAcentral
CCGUUCGCACGCAGUUGUAGUCUGCAGAGCAGGGCCUAACACUAAGUGCCUCCGCAAAGAGCCGCCGGUGUACUCGAGGCCCUACCGGCCUAGCCAGGAGGAGGCGGCGCGGCCGCGACCGCGGUUGGCGGAGAAGCGGUGGUGGCGCUGCAGGGGCCCCCGGUUCUGGAGGGAACAGCCGCCGUUCCCGCGCAACGACGCCUACUACAGGUGAAGGCGCCGGAGCAUCCACCAGUUCCGCCUCCGCCGGUUCCCGCUACCAAUCUUCUUCCUCCACCGCUAGUCGUCGAUGAACCCCCUAGCUCGUCAGCUUCUUCGACCACGCACUCCUUCCGUGGCUCACCUUCACCAGAACGAAGUCCGGUACCCUCCGCAUGUCGCGUCUGUACAGCUAGCUAGACUGGUUCGUGGUACACGGGUUGUGCUACGAGCUGUUCUAGCGGAUGAUGUGGCAGUUCAGGGGCGCGAAGGGGUGGCUGUAGAAGAAGGUCCAUGAGAAGACAAUUACUUGAAGGAGGUGUGGACAUCACUGUUCUUUUGUGACUUCUUCACCAAGAAGUAGCUGUUCUGUCAACCGAUUCUUUUAGGUCGACUUUCUCUCUGUUGGUAGCAUGGACGGACUCUUUCUAGAACGGAUGUCACGUACCUACGAUUCCAGUAACAAUACUUCCGGGGUGUUCUUCCGCACCCCCUAAACCGUGUUCCGGCCACUAGCUCAGAUACGAGAGAGGAGGUACCUUUCUGGAUACAAGUUGAACGAACUUACUUGUCACACACACCUUGUCUAAGAACAGACUUAAGAGAAGAACACCCUCAUACUUGAACGAACAUCAUAGAACCUCAUAGUUGAACCUCGUAGACCAAUCUCAUCGUAGAACGUUGUGUAAGCUAAUGAGGUCAUGACUAUCAAUGUCAUCGUAGAACUUUUUACCUCAUCAAUCUCAUCGUAGAAGCUAAUUGAUUUAACUACUAAUGACGACAAUUUAACCCUGAACGUUCGUCAUCAAGGGAGAAGAAUAGAGAAGAGAGAACGUCAUCAACAACAUCAUCAUCAAAGAACGUCAUCAAAUCACAUGCUAAACAGAAACCACCUCAUAAAGAACUCGACACAACAUAAAGGACACUGAUUUAUCACUUAGAUCAAUGUUGUUUCGUACGGUCAUGAACAGAAACCACCUCAUCAAACUGUCACUCCUAGUCACUACAAGGGUUAAUUAAACCACAUCAAAACUAUCAAUCUCAUCGUACAACCUCAUCCCAUCAGGUGUAAACAGAUGUAAUCUGGUCUAAUAAGGCUAAUCAGGUGUAAAGUAUAAUAAGAACCUCGUUACAUGAUAUCGUCGUCAUGACAUGACAUCGUCGUUGUACUCAUUUGACUUAUGAGGAAGUAUACGAACCAAGGAAGAAUAAGAAGGAGUCUAACACUUUUACCUAAGUGAGGAAGAAUACGUGACGUGACAUGACAUCAUAUCCAGUAGAAACUUAAUUAUGAGGUUUUAAAUAAUCAUAACCUCCUAACUAACAAAGGUUUAGUUAUGAGGACCCGUAGUAAGUACCGACAGAUCAUCAGCUGUAUGAAGACCAAGGUAAAUCACAUACGUCCAUCGUCGUCGAAUUCACAUUACCUCAACAAAACAAUGAGAUACGGAUGAAUCAAUCUCAACCGUGGUAGAGGAACAGCAAAUAUCGUAUUUGCGGAAGUGAUAAGAACGAGACUUGGAGACUAGGACUACGACUAACAUAAACAGAACUACCUUAUUGUACGUUGUACCACUGAGAUCACGUCCAUCGCAACCGGUAGGAGAAGCUCCAACACAAAUCCACUAUUGAGCCCAUCGGUACUGUGAUGAGACCGACUAAUCAUGGGUCACCGUACAAACAUUAUAAAUAUACGUAAAAUGAACAUCUUUAUUACGAGUGCCAUAUAAAUAUACAGGACGUCGCGUACGAGGAAAAGCCAGACAUUUCUUACAACUAUACCACAAAACCGUCGACACUAUAAUCUAACGUGAAGAAAUACACUAAAUGAGUACAACCAUGAUGAACAAUUCACUAACGAGACAUUGAACAGAAAGAGCCUUGUCAAACGAACCAGAAAGUAUAGACUGAUACAUUACAUCUUCGAGAUGAAAUAGGAUUAUCAACGUACAUCGUAACACGAUGAUAGACACACUACGAUUUGUUAUACGAGAAUUAGACAACUAUAUAAGAGUUCACAACAAGUGGUAAAUGUAACAAAAAUGUAAAAGAUAUAAGUGUUUAUCAUCAUCACAGACCAGAUCUAUUAGACAUUUAAAACAACAGAACAACUAUUACGGUAUAUAGGAUUCGUUACUAUAAUGUAAAGACAAACAUACCAUUAUAUUUUUUAUAACUACAACAGUAUUAAAAGUAACACACACGGAAAGUAAAGAAAUAAAACUAACAAAGGGAACAUAAGAUAUACGAAGAUUACCAGCUAGGAAAGUUACUGUCCACAACACAAGAUCUUCUACUUUCUCCUUCUUUUAAAUAAAAACAACUUGAUUUAAAAAACAUAAGACAAAACAACAUGUAUACUAAACUAUCAAAACAUAUCCUUGUACACUAUGAUAAAACAUCCCGAAAUACCGGACACUACAUUUGUAUAAAUCACUACUUAAUACUUUAAUAAACGUUUUAAAUAACUUUUCCUC